ACGUAGGUGGCAAGCGUUGUCCGGAAUUAUUGGGCGUAAAGCGCGCGCAGGCGGAUCAGUCAGUCUGUCUUAAAAGUUCGGGGCUUAACCCCGUGAUGGGAUGGAAACUGCUGAUCUAGAGUAUCGGAGAGGAAAGUGGAAUUCCUAGUGUAGCGGUGAAAUGCGUAGAUAUUAGGAAGAACACCAGUGGCGAAGGCGACUUUCUGGACGAAAACUGACGCUGAGGCGCGAAAGCCAGGGGAGCGAACGG
This 250-nucleotide ribosomal RNA is filed under the name uncultured bacterium. RNAcentral describes it as "partial 16S ribosomal RNA". It matches the Rfam family "Bacterial small subunit ribosomal RNA", at positions 525 to 775 of the family's 1533-position model. The record is from RNAcentral.